UACGGAGGAUGCGAGCGUUAUCCGGAUUUAUUGGGUUUAAAGGGUGCGUAGGCGGACUGUCAAGUCAGCGGUAAAAUUGAGAGGCUCAACCUCUCCCCGCCGUUGAAACUGGUGGUCUUGAGUGGAUGAGAAGUACGCGGAAUGCGUGGCGUAGCGGUGAAAUGCAUAGAUAUCACGCAGAACUCCGAUUGCGAAGGCAGCGUACCGGCAUCCAACUGACGCUGAGGCACGAAAGCGUGGGGAUCAAACAGG
RNAcentral lists this ribosomal RNA (252 nucleotides) under uncultured bacterium. RNAcentral's name for it is "partial 16S ribosomal RNA". It matches the Rfam family "Bacterial small subunit ribosomal RNA", at positions 524 to 776 of the family's 1533-position model. The record is from RNAcentral.